UUGCUCACUUCAGCAGUACAUGUAUUAAAAGUGAAAAAAUGCAGAAAAAAUUAGCAUGGGCCCUGGGAAAAGAUGAUACUCAAAUUUGUGAAGCAUUCCAUAUUUUU
This is a small nuclear RNA of Sorex araneus (European shrew), 107 nucleotides long. The record is from Ensembl. NCBI's taxonomy places the organism in Eukaryota, Metazoa, Chordata, Mammalia, Eulipotyphla, Soricidae.